RNAcentral lists this ribosomal RNA (376 nucleotides) under uncultured bacterium. RNAcentral describes it as "bacterial SSU rRNA". It matches the Rfam family "Bacterial small subunit ribosomal RNA", at positions 524 to 898 of the family's 1533-position model. The record is from RNAcentral.
GACGAAGGUGGCGAGCGUUACUCGGAAUUACUAGGCGUAAAGCGUGGGCAGGCGGUUCAGUAAGUCUGUUGUGGAAGCUCCCGGCUCAACCGGGAGAGGCCAAUGGAAACUGCUGAGCUUGAAUUGAGGAGGGGUCACUGGAAUUCCCGGUGUAGCGGUGAAAUGCGUAGAUAUCGGGAGGAACAUCCAUGGCGAAAGCAGGUGACUGGACUCAUAUUGACGCUCAUCCACGAAAGCUGGGGGAUCAAACAGGAUUAGAUACCCUGGUAGUCCCAGCCGUAAACGAUGUACACCAGAUGUGGGAGGUAUCGACCCCUUCCGCGUCGACGCUAACGCAUUAAGUGUACCGCCUGGGGAGUACGGCCGCAAGGUUGAA